This 75-nucleotide transfer RNA is filed under the name Proteobacteria bacterium SW_6_67_9. RNAcentral describes it as "tRNA-Gln". It matches the Rfam family "tRNA". From Rfam's summary of the family: Transfer RNA (tRNA) molecules are approximately 80 nucleotides in length. Their secondary structure includes four short double-helical elements and three loops (D, anti-codon, and T loops). The record is from RNAcentral. Lineage: Bacteria; Pseudomonadati; Pseudomonadota.
UGGGCCGUAGCCAAGUGGUAAGGCACCAGGUUUUGGUCCUGGGAAUCGCAGGUUCGAAUCCUGCCGGCCCAGCCA